This 65-nucleotide transfer RNA is filed under the name Dipodomys ordii (Ord's kangaroo rat). It matches the Rfam family "tRNA". Rfam says of the family: Transfer RNA (tRNA) molecules are approximately 80 nucleotides in length. Their secondary structure includes four short double-helical elements and three loops (D, anti-codon, and T loops). The record is from Rfam by way of RNAcentral. Lineage: Eukaryota; Metazoa; Chordata; Mammalia; Rodentia; Heteromyidae.
GGUGGCUUAGUGGUAGAGCGCUUGCCUUGCAAGCUUGACGCCCUGGGUUCAAUUCCUCAGCACCA